AUACGGAGGGGGUUAGCGUUGUUCGGAAUUACUGGGCGUAAAGCGUACGUAGGCGGAUUAGUAAGUUAGGGGUGAAAUCCCGAGGCUCAACCUCGGAACUGCCUCUAAAACUGCUAGUCUUGAGUUCGAGAGAGGUGAGUGGAAUUCCUAGUGUAGAGGUGAAAUUCGUAGAUAUUAGGAGGAACACCAGUGGCGAAGGCGGCUCACUGGCUCGAUACUGACGCUGAGGUACGAAAGUGUGGGGAGCAAACAGGAUUAGAAACCCGAGUAGUCC
This 274-nucleotide ribosomal RNA is filed under the name uncultured bacterium. RNAcentral's name for it is "partial 16S ribosomal RNA". It matches the Rfam family "Bacterial small subunit ribosomal RNA", at positions 523 to 796 of the family's 1533-position model. The record is from RNAcentral.